RNAcentral lists this long non-coding RNA (235 nucleotides) under Lathyrus oleraceus (garden pea). RNAcentral describes it as "Pisum sativum (pea) long non-coding RNA (PSAT_LNC029714)". Lineage: Eukaryota; Viridiplantae; Streptophyta; Magnoliopsida; Fabales; Fabaceae. The record is from RNAcentral.
UCAUUUGAGUUUUUCUUUUGGCUUAUACCUUGUGUACAUUGGGAUUGUUUGUUGCUUAUUGACUGUGGUUUGAUUGUCUGAGUAUUGUACUGAUUUGUUUGAUGUUUCCACAUGUACAUAAGUUGCUUUAAGUUCACUUGAACUUUGCUUUUGCUUGGUUGCUUAACCACUUAGGUAUAAUCCCUAAUCUUCAUGUAGUCUGGAAGACCUACUGUUAUUGGUAGGCAUCUGUCUG